CCUUGAUUUGGGGACGGCAGCAAAAUGCCGGUGACAAAUAAAAAAUUCUCCAGUCGUCAUGCUUUUGCAAAAGUUGUCCGAGGCUAUUUGGUUGGACCAAAUGAAGCAACCAUGUCAGUUCCCAGUCUGUCGACUCAGGUGGCUCGAUCAAUUAAACCCACCGAAAAUCGCGCGAGCCUUGCGCUUCGGCUAAUUUUGUUCACCGCAGCCAUUGAAAGAUAGCCAGAAGCUCUCCUUGUUUUCAACCCUCGGAAGCUUUUUGUAAUAAAUCCUUCACAAAUAAUUUAUAGUUUAUGUCGCAAUCAAAGCAGAAUUCGUAUAAAAUCUCUUCGAUGAACUGGUAAAUCUGGCGAUAAUUCACAAGAGUCGCCACGCUUACCCGCCGAUUGAGAGCCUUGGUUCUUUUGAAGCUACUUUUAAAGAGAGGUCUUGACGGUGAGCACUCUCACGCAUGCUCUGUCAUCUCCCUCCUUGGACAGUCUACGGCAAAGGUUUGACGCAUGCUCGAGAGAUCUAAAAGAUAUUUACAUACAGGAACCUGGUUAGUUUUUCUCAUAUUAUUCAGCAAAAACCCAUUUCUCUCUUUAUUUCUCUUCCUUUUUGUGCUCUUUUUUGCUGGAGGAUCAAUGGCUCCAAGAAAGGAAAGUGAACCGAAUGUUUCUGAAAAGACACAUUUCAAGUUGUUGGACAGAAGGGUUGAGAAAAAUGGGAUGAAAGAGCUGAAACACUUAGAGGCAGUGCUUAAAGCGCUUAUGAAACGGCAAGCAAAGCUGCAGGCAAAAGUGGACCGUCCUGGAGAACGUAAACCAACAAUGGAACAACUCAGAAAAGUGAAUGAUCAGCUGGCAAGGUUCAAUGCUUGGACCCAACAAUACAUUGAAACUAAGGUUGCUGACUCUGCUUAGGAGGCAUCAAACAAAGGCGUUUGACGGCUUCUGUCAUCCUCUCUCUAGAAACAUCUCUGGCGAGAAGAAUAAUCAAAUAAAGAAGUAGCGAAGUUUGGUCCCAUUGGUGUGAAAUUUGUACUGUGUUUGCUUGUCUGUUGCAAGUUGCAAUAUGAAAUAUGUGAAGCACAAUACGACUGUGCUUGCUUGUCUGUCGUACUGUGCUUGCUUGUCUGUUGUACUUUUAUUUUGAUCGAACUUUUAAUAAUGGUGUGGCUUAGAUUCUCUUUUGCCUUGUUACAUUGCACGUUUAUAACUUGGUUUUUUUUUUUUUAUCUUGAUUGAAUAUCUAUUAUGACUUGGUUAAAUAUCUUUGAUAAGCCACAUGAGAAAGAUAGGUAAACUAUUAUCUAAACAAAAACCAAGUCCCCCUCAUGAUGAUUGACUCUCUACAUUCCUCAUGAUGAAGAGUCUAAAGACUUGAAGGCCAAGAUUGUUAAUGAAUUGAACGGGUGGGUAGU
This is a long non-coding RNA of Theobroma umbraticum, 1405 nucleotides long. RefSeq lists it as uncharacterized. The record is from RefSeq and is a predicted model, not a curated record. NCBI's taxonomy places the organism in Eukaryota, Viridiplantae, Streptophyta, Magnoliopsida, Malvales, Malvaceae.